Molecule: small RNA, 3465 nt
Filed under: Mytilus galloprovincialis (Mediterranean mussel)
Lineage: Eukaryota; Metazoa; Mollusca; Bivalvia; Mytilida; Mytilidae
Source: RNAcentral
AUGGCAGGAUAUAUAGGGAAAAUAGAGCCGUUUGAUGAUAGUACAGAAACGUGGAGUUCGUACGUUGAAAGACUGGAACAAUAUUUUGCAGUGAACGCACUUGAAAAUGAGAAGAAGGUUCCAGCUUUAUUGACAUUAUUAGGUGGGAAAACCUAUGGACUUCUUAGAAAUUUGACUUUACCGGAUAAACCCGCAACUAAAUCGUAUGACGAUAUUGUAAAGUUAUUGAAAGACCAUUUAAGUCCGAAACCAUUGAUUGUCGCAGAGAGAUUUCGUUUUUAUAAACGUUAUCAAAUACAAGGAGAAACUGUAAAUAAAUAUGUAGCAGAACUUAGAAAGUUUGCCGAAUAUUGUGAAUUUGGGAACUUAAAUGAAUCUUUAAGAGACCAGUUUGUGGUUGGACUUAAAGAUGAACAGACACAAAAGAAACUGUUAACUGUGCCGGACUUAACUUUUGUGAAAGCUAUCGGAAUUGCUAUAGCCGUAGAGACUGCAAACAAAGAUGCAAUUGAGUUAAGAGGGAAAUUCAACACCGAAAGUUCUGUAAACAGGAUACAACGACAGCAACGUAGACCGCCACCAAGUACAACAGAUAGACAUAAAUCGUUCGUAUGCUACCGAUGUAAUGGAAAGAAUCACAAAGCAGAUACAUGUAGAUUUAAAGACGCGGUGUGUCACAGCUGUAAUAAAAAAGGGCACAUUCGUAAAGCGUGUAGAUCAUCCGGUAAACCGAAACAAAGACCGGCGCAAAAGAAUGUUAAUUCCUUGGAUAAUCAAUCACGGGAAUACACAAGUGAUGAGGAUGAUUACUUAGGAAUUCACAGUGUUAAAAAUUCCAAUCAGGAUUCAAUUUGGAUUACGCCAAAUGUGCAUGGAAAAGAAAUUAGAAUGGAGCUGGAUACAGGUUCAGCCGUGUCAGUAAUUUCUGCUCUGGAUUACGACAAGUAUUUUCAAAAUGAAAAACUUGAAAGUGCAAAUGUCACCCUGAAAACGUAUUCAGGAGAGUUGUUAAUUCCAACUGGAUAUAUGAAUGUGCAAGUUAAAUAUAAUGGUCAAUGUGAAAAUCUUAAAUUGUAUGUAGUGCAAAAAGGUGGCCCUGCAUUGUUUGGGCGUGAUUGGUUAAGGAAAAUCAAUUUAGAUUGGAAAAAUCUCAAGUGGAUUAAUAAAAUUUCAGUGUCAAGAAAUUCAAAUGAAAAGCUGGAUUUAUUACUGAAGGAGUAUUCAAAUGUAUUCCGUGAGGGAAUAGGGUGUGUUGCAGAUAUAAAAGCACAUCUCACGUUAAAAGAAAAUGCUUCACCGAAAUUUGUAAAAGCUAGACCGGUGCCAUUUUCAGUCAAACCGCAAGUGGAGCGAGAGCUAAUAAGGCUUGAAAAGGAAGGAAUAAUUUCAAAAGUCGACACAAGUGAAUGGGCAUCACCAAUUGUCCCCGUUAUGAAAUCAAAUGGUACAAUUCGUAUAUGUGGAGAUUUCAAAACCACCGUGAAUCCUAUGCUUAAUGUGGAUCAGUACCCGCUUCCGCGGACCGAUGAGAUAUUCGCUACUCUCGCAGGAGGACAGAAAUACACGAAACUGGAUCUCCGUAAUGCAUAUUUACAUAUGGAGGUAGACGAUGAGUCAAAACCAUUGAUGACAAUCAAUACACACAAAGGACUGUAUCGUUAUAAUAGGAUGUUAUUCGGAAUUGCGUCAGCACCAGCUAUAUGGCAAAGAACAAUGGACCAGGUAUUAAAUGGACUUGAUAGUGUACAAUGCAUGUUGGACGACAUGAUUAUAACGGGCCCUGAUGACGAAACACACUUACAAAACUUGAAAAAUGUGUUACAGAGACUUCAGAACUAUGGUUUAAGGGCAAACUUGCAGAAAUGUUCUUUCCUCAAGGACAAAGUCAUAUACUGCGGACAUGAAAUUAGUGCAGAUGGACUCAGGAAAACUACAGACAAAGUACAAGCUGUAAUGGAAACUCCGACUCCGAAAAAUGUAAAGGAUGUACGUGCAUUCUUAGGACUGAUAAACUAUUAUCACAGAUUUAUGCCUAAUUCAGCAACUGUACUUAAACCAUUGAAUCAACUGCUAGAAAAAGAGCGAAUAUGGCGCUGGACAGACGAUUGUGAAAAGGCCUUCAAAAAGGCAAAGGAGCUUAUUACGUCAGACCAAGUGUUAACACACUACAACCCCGAAUUACCAGUCCGUUUAGCGUGUGAUGCUUCGCCAUUCGGACUUGGAGCAGUGUUAUCUCACGUUAUGCCAGAUGGAUCGGAAAGACCAAUUUCUUUCGCAUCGAGGAGUCUUACAAAAUCCGAAAAGAACUAUGCACAAAUCCAAAAGGAGGCGCUUGGAAUAGUGUGGGGAGUGAAGAAAUUUAACACAUUUCUGUACGGUAGGAAAUUUUCUUUAAUUACUGAUCAUCAACCUUUAACAGCAAUUUUUAAUCCUGAAAAAUCAAUUCCUGUAACUACCGCCGCUAGGUUACAGCGUUAUGCUAUUUUUCUCUCUGGAUUUACAUACAACAUCGAAUACAAAAAUACAAAGAAACACAAUAAUGCAGACGCAUUAUCGCGACUACCGAUGCAAAGUGACAUGAACAUUAACAGUGAAGACGCAGAUGAUCUUUUUCACGUGUUACAAAUUGAGGACCUUCCAAUUACGAGCGCCGAAAUUCAACGUGAAACUCGAAAAGAAAAGGUAUUAGCAUCAGUUUUGUACCAAGCAAUGAACGGAUGGGAAAUAACGGACGAUUCGUUAAUGAAACCUUAUUUCACUCGCAGAAAUGAAUUAACUGUUAGUCAUGGUUGCCUUCUGUGGGGAAUAAGAGUCAUAAUUCCGAUUAAAUUCAGGAAUCGAAUUCUAGAAUUACUUCAUAGUAGUCACCCGGGAGUGGUGAAAAUGAAGGCGUUGGCCAGAGGACAUGUCUGGUGGCCCGGUAUAGACAGUGACAUUGAACAUUUAGUCAAAAGCUGCACUGGAUGCCAGAUAAAUCAGCACGCACCAGCACUAACACCGUUACACCCAUGGGAAUGGCCCGAGACACCAUGGCAACGAGUCCAUAUAGACUACGCAGGACCGUUUAUAAACAGAAUGUUUUUUGUUAUGGUGGACGCGCAUAGCAAGUGGCCUGAGGUUUUCGAAAUGAAAUCGAUUACAGCAACAAAAACAAUUGACAUUAUGAGACAAGUAUUUGCUAGAAAUGGAGUACCUGCUCAUAUUGUAUCGGAUAAUGGACCAAGUUUUGCAUCCGCAGAAUUCGCAGAAUUCUUGAGACAAAAUGGAAUAAAACACACGAAGUCAGCACCCUAUCAUCCAGCAACAAAUGGACUUGUUGAGAGAUUUAUUCAAACAUUUAAACAGUCAAUGAAAGCAAUGAAAUGGGAAUCUGGUGAUGUAAACAAAAAGAUCGCAAACUUCUUGCUGACGUAUCGCCAGACACCACACACUAUUCCCAUGAAACACCAUCAAAACUGUUUCUAG